CUAUAGCGUAUGAAAGCUAUCAGUCUUAGAUAGUUAUUUACGACGAGCAUUGAAGAGCUCUCGAUUUGACGUCGAUCUAAUUCAAGUAUGAAUAUGCAACCCGUACGAAUGUCACGGUGUGAGUAGCCGGGUUAGUUAAUCUCUACGUCGGACGAGCAUUUGAUUACAAUCGACGGCAGGAAAUCCCUUCGUUCUACGCGAUGUGUACGAGGUAUCUCACGGUAUGGAAUGAUAUCUGCGGGAAUUCCACGAAAUUCGGAGAUCCUAAUUGUACAGAAUCCAUGGACGCCGGCGAGCUAAUCCAGGAGAAGGGAAAAGUGGAAACGUUACAACUUGUUUUAAAAAAUUUUCAGGCGGAGGUACGCCGAGAGGAAGAAGAUAUCCACUCCGAAUUCGUCGCAGAAACCUUUCGUCGACCAAAGAAACGACUUCCGGGACGCACCUUGUGUGCGCAACGUGCGAGUAUCCCUACCUCUCACUCCGGUGGACGCGAAUGCGCGAACACGUGUGAACUCCAAGUGGCGCGGGAGGUACACGUGUAUGCGACGAGAACCUUAAUCCAAGAUUGCGUCUCGGGAUCUCGCGAGAGGUGGCAGAACCGGAAGAGAUGAGGUGAGGUAAGGAGGCUCCGUCGCGACCGGGUUUUCCGAGGAAGUUAAGGGAAUCGGGGGACGCACGGGGGACCUGGAGAAUCUCCCCGAUUCGCGAAGAAGAAGUCGAGGCUACCCCGUCGCCGCUACUCCGGGGAUCCAUUCAAGAGCAGACGUUGGUAGACACCUUGGCAUAGAUAUCCGAUAAGAUUUCUCCCGGGACGUGGCCCAGGACACACCGUGGAGGAUCCUAUCCUUCGACCCGUUCGAACGCGACAAGACCGACUGAUCGGAGAAGCGGGGCACGUAUGGCGGGAGUUUACGGCCAAAAAGCGCAGCUCUGGGGAACUCAAGGGGUUAAUCUCGGGAUUGCGGCGACGUGGAUUAAUUCGCCGACGUGUAGCGCUCGCACGUGUCGCGCGAGUAAAACACAACGUGGCCGGCGCCGCGCGUAUCGCGCUUUUUGCGAUUCAGAUCUCGGGUCGGCCAGACUAAUGACCGAGGAAGGGCCUUUCCCGGGUUGAGGCACACACAGGUUGGCUCGUCGGCUGGAACGAGAAACGGGAGACGCUCCACGGAGAUCGACGUGCGAGUCGUUAAACUCACCCCGGAGACCGUAAACUAUCGUGAGAGGGUCGAGCCGAAGGGACAAUGACGCUCGCUUCGCAAAGUGCAAAGGACACGAGGCGACAGGGACGACCGCGACGAGGACGACGAAUCGUCCCGGAUGGAUUGGCGAACAAAUAAAUACAGAUCGUAGGUCGAGAUUCGGAGCGAAUCGAUGCGCCCGCGCUGGCGGGCUAUGUCGAGAGUAGAUUUAUCUCGUGAAAAUAUAGUGGAAAUAGAAGUAGAAAUAGAAGGAAUUUAGUGGAAUUUCUAUCAAUAGAAUAGAAUUUAUGAAUUCAAGAGCACUUCCUAUAUUUUUUCAGAAUGUCUGAGUCAAAAUUUGAAUCCUACUUUCUCUACCUGUGAAUAUUUUACUUAAUGCCUAUUUAAAUAUUUUAUAUCAACUUCUGUUGAUUCUAUUCGAUCUAUUAACUUUGUUGAGAAACAUAGUCCUUUUUUAAACCAAUGAGUGACAUUUUGUGCGUUUCUUACGCUGAAUAGGAUUUUAGUUUCCAUAUAUGUAUUAAAUAUAUUUUCAUUCUUCAGAACAUAUAAAUGUUAAAAAGUUCAGGUCGAAAGUAAGGCUAAAAUUUCGAGUAAAAUCUCGCUCUAAACAAGUGAUUUACUCAAAAUUGAAAACACUACUACUCGGAAUCGUAAAAGUGAAUACUUCACUCAAACUCAGAGUGGAUUCUGACUUUACACAAGUAAAUAUUUCAGUCGAUUAGAAUAAAUUUAUUCCUGUAAUUGUGCGACACAUUAAAUUUAUUCUUUAAAUUUCAAGUAGAAAUAUUCUCUUGACGAUCCAGAGUGGAAAAUUUACUUCAUAUGAGUGAAAAUUCGAUUCUAGUCACACAAUAGUCACUUUACGAGUGAAAUUUCACUCUAAGAAUGAAUUUUAUCUAUUUGUACCAUCCGAAUGCAGUCAUGAGUUAUUUAUUAUUUUAUAGAUAAUAAUAGAAACAUUAAAAAUUAUGUAGUUUUACAGAGGUUCUUGAAUCCUCGUCGAGAAUAGUUUUAGUCUUUUAAAGGUGUUAUUCUACUCGUUCAGUAACUCAUCAUCAGAGCUGAAUUCAUCAUCAAAGCAUUGAAUCUGAGAAAUAUUCCGAAUCAAAAUUUUGAUGCUACGUCCGACUUUAAUAUUCUAUUUUUCUAACGCCUGCUGAUACUCUGAAGUUUAUAUAAAAUAAUUACCAACCAUAUAAGACUAUCAGUUGAUUGGAAGCAUCCUGCAAGGGAAAAUAUGAGUAUAAAAAUUAAUAUAAGAUAAAUAUUCAAUUAUGUACAUCCUUUUAAUCAUUGACAUUUUAGAACAAAAUUUGAUUUUUCUUGCAAUCAAUAUUGCAAUUAAACUUUUCUUUACACUGUAUGUUAUCAAAAUAGGAUUUCACAACUGCUUCUAAUCGCAAAAAACUCGGUUUCACUAGAAUAUCAAUGAUUUAUGCUCGUUUCUACCAAUAUCGAUUAAAUCUUAACCUAAGUUUGUCUUUGUCUAAACAGAGUUUAAAAGUCAACGUUUAAUUCAGUGGUUGGUACAAACAGACACAAGAGGAAUCAAUAAUUGGGUAUUUUAUCUUACCUCAUACAUCACACUGAUAAGGUCCUAAUAUCGACCGGUAGAUGUUUCACAACCGUUGGUAUUUAUAAAAGUUUCUUAAAUAAUAUGAUGAUGAAAAAUAUGAUGUUUCUUAAUAAAACGAUGAGACAUUGAACGAAUAGGAUAUCACCAUUAAAAGACAUUAUUUAUAUAUUUUCGACGAGGGUUCAAGAAACUAUCUUUGUAAAACUACUUAAUUUUUAAUAUUUCUAUUAUUAUCUAUUAAAAAACUGUACUUAAUUACGAUAA
Molecule: RNA transcript, 3042 nt
Organism: Odontomachus brunneus
Lineage: Eukaryota; Metazoa; Arthropoda; Insecta; Hymenoptera; Formicidae
Exons: 4
Source: RefSeq, a predicted model, not a curated record